Molecule: ribosomal RNA, 494 nt
Filed under: uncultured bacterium
Lineage: Bacteria
Description: partial 16S ribosomal RNA
Rfam family: Bacterial small subunit ribosomal RNA
Source: RNAcentral
GACGAACGCUGGCGGCGUGCUUAACACAUGCAAGUCGAACGGUGAAGCGCCUUCCUUUUUGGUGGGUGUGGAUGAGUGGCGAACGGGUGAGUAACACGUGAGUAACCUGCCCCCUUCUUCUGGAUAACCGCAUGAAAGUGUGGCUAAUACGGGAUAUUCUGGGUCUGUCGCAUGAUGGGUCUGGGAAAGAUAUUGUUUCGGUGGGGGAUGGGCUCGCGGCCUAUCAGCUUGUUGGUGGGGUGAUGGCCUACCAAGGCGGUGACGGGUAGCCGGCCUGAGAGGGUGGACGGUCACACUGGGACGGAGACACGGCCAAGACUCCUACGGGAGGCAGCAGUGGGGAAUAUUGCACAAUGGGCGCAAGCCUGAUGCAGCGACGCCGCGUGAGGGAUGGAGGCCUUCGGGUUGUGAACCUCUUUCGCCAGUGAAGCAGGCCUGCCUCGUUUGUGGGUGGGUUGACGGUAGCUGGAUAAGAAGCGCCGGCUAACUACGUG